GAUGUGGUACAAUGUGUCAGUGCAUCUGGCUCUUAAUCAGAAGGUUGGUGGUUCGAGUCCACCCAGGGAUG
Podarcis lilfordi (Lilford's wall lizard) is the source of this 71-nucleotide non-coding RNA. The record is from the annotation of a GenBank genome assembly. Lineage: Eukaryota; Metazoa; Chordata; Lepidosauria; Squamata; Lacertidae.